This 782-nucleotide ribosomal RNA is filed under the name uncultured bacterium. Its description in RNAcentral is "bacterial SSU rRNA". It matches the Rfam family "Bacterial small subunit ribosomal RNA", at positions 95 to 896 of the family's 1533-position model. The record is from RNAcentral.
GUGGCGCACGGGUGAGUAACACGUGGGUAACCUGCCCGGGAGUUCGGGAUAACAGUGCGAAAGUGCUGCUAAUACCGGAUACCUUCACGGAGCUGCAUAGUUUUGUGAAGAAAGUUUUUCGCUUCCGGAUGGGCCCGCGUCCCAUUAGCUAGUUGGUGAGGUAACGGCUCACCAAGGCGACGAUGGGUAGCUGGUCUGAGAGGACGAUCAGCCACACUGGAACUGAGACACGGUCCAGACUCCUACGGGAGGCAGCAGUGGGGAAUCUUGCGCAAUGGGCGGAAGCCUGACGCAGCAACGCCGCGUGAAUGAUGAAGGCCUUCGGGUUGUAAAAUUCUGUCAGGGGGGACGAUAAUGACGGUACCCCGGAGGAAGCCCCGGCUAACUACGUGCCAGCAGCCGCGGUAAUACGUAGGGGGCGAGCGUUGUCCGGAAUUAUUGGGCGUAAAGGGCGUGUAGGCGGCCGAUCAAGUCUGGUGUGAAAAUCCGGGGCUCAACCCCGGAAGUGCAUUGGAAACUGGUUGGCUUGAGUGCAGGAGAGGAAAGUGGAAUUCCCAGUGUAGCGGUGAAAUGCGUAGAUAUUGGGAGGAACACCAGUGGCGAAGGCGACUUUCUGGACUGCAACUGACGCCGAGGCGCGAAAGCUAGGGGAGCAAACAGGAUUAGAUACCCUGGUAGUCCUAGCCGUAAACGAUGGGUACUAGGUGUAGGGGGUUUAGACGCCCUCUGUGCCGCAGUUAACGCACUAAGUACCCCGCCUGGGGAGUACGGCCGCAAGGCUG